UUUAUGUGUUAACUCUUUAUUAACACUUACAUACUGAUCAUAUUUUAUUCACUCAUUCAACAAAUAGACUCAUUAUCAUUGUUUUUAUAUAUAUAUAUAUAAAAAGUCUUAUUUACAGAGAUAUACUAAUAGUUUUCAUAAAAAAAAAACAGUGGCACACAUGAACUGAGAAAAACCCCACAAACACCAAGAGGCUGUUUCAAGAAGGCCACAGAGAGAAGAGUACAGAAGUGGAGCAGUUCAGUGAUGUAGGUGGAGGCGUCACACCAUCAGGCAAUGAAAAUAUGAACCAUGAUUUGAACCUGAAACAAUGCAGAAGCUCUAACAGUGGAGAGAUGUUUGGAGUUAAAGCUUUGGUCAGACCAGAGAUCAGAGCAUCAGUUCAUCACACUGCUGAUUAAAGAAAGGUUGAAGCUUCUCAGAGAGAUCAGAGAGAGAGAAAUACCUGUCUAUAUAUAAUAACUGUCUAUAACAGUUUGUACAAUCUGAUUGGGUAAGAUUGAUUUCCAAACUAAAACAGCCAAAGAGAAGAUUUUUAUACAAACUGUUUUCCAGUGGGCGGUACUUAAGGAGGAAAAAGUCACAUGAAUCACACCAAUAUAGAAGAGUUCAUUUGCUGAACCUGAAGCUCCAACACAAAAACACUCACUGACUCUAUACUUUAUACCUUUGAGCCUUCUGACUUGCCUCGCAUUGCCCGGCUCAUAGCUUAUAUACUACAUACAGCUUUCAAAACCCUUCCAAACUGCUUGGCUUGCGACGUUUUAUUAGUGUGAAUGCUUGAAAAGCAUUCACAGUAUUGUUAUUCGAAUCUUUAUUAUUAGUGUGAAUGCUUGAAAAGCAUUCACAGUAUUGUUCUUCAAAUCUUUAUUAUUAUUCCAUAUUCCGUACGUUUUUUGGCAUCUAACUCCUUCAAAACCGUUCAACUUAGAAAAACCAUUCAAACAUCGUUAGAUUCCUAUUAUUUUGGACAUGACUGCUUCUAUUUUUCUCAUUUUUAACAUUUAUAUUUUUAAUUUUAUUCAACUUUAUUCAACAAAAAUUUCCCAUGUAUUUCAAUGGGGAAACCCUUCAAAUUCUCAUUCAACUUACUCAUUUUUAAACUCUUACUACUUCCACAUACAUUGACAUAGAGCCACCAUUCAAACUUUAAAACGAAGACAAGACAUUCAACUAUUCAACUUGUAUUUAUCUUUUCAAUAUCUAUUAUACUUUUUCUUCAGUUCCAGUUUAAGUUUCAUGAUGUUUUUUCACCCGUUUCAAAAUUUAUAAUGGGUGUGUAUGGGACGGAAUGUUGGGGCUAGAGUGAGGCAGCUCAACUGCUAGAGUGAGAGGAGCAAAAAAAUUAAUCUUAAAAUCUUUUUUAAAACUGCUGCUGUGUCUGCAGCGUUUGCUCUACAGGUAUGAUUUUACCCUCAAAACGUAGCCAUGGCUGUCCUCUUUCAUCCAAUGUGUUUACUAUUGUCCUAGGUGUUAUGGUUCUUUCAUAAAUGUCACCAAUGCACAGCCUCCUCCCUCCAACUCUUCCAUAGACUCUAAUGUUAAAAUGGCUCAGAAGGUUCGUUUGAAAAUCAGAAGAGCAUGGUGUCUUUCCACUGUCACCACGUCCAUAUAAUAAACUCCACAGGCAUGAAAACUGAGAAUUUGGUAGACUAGACAUGGCUGUCGCUCACGGUGAAAGAAUUUUGUCAAUACGACAUGUACUUUUCAUUUGGGAAGAAUUUGUUUGGGCCUGACUUUUCUGUUCAUUUUAAGCAGCAAAAGUGAGGUGCAUGUCUGUGUACGUGUGUAUGGAGCCAUUGGGUGCGGUCACUAUAGCAACCAGGCUCACACCUGCCUGCUUAACGAGCUCUGCCUGCCACUGUACCAAGAUUCAUCUUAAGCACUUCUCUUUCAACUGCUGCUGUGUCCACAGUGUCACAGCCAUCAUUUUACCCUCAAAUUGUCGCCAUUAUUGUUCUCUUUCCAACACCGUAUCUUUCAAAGCUCAGGCAUUUAAACUUUUUAAACUGUGUGGAUCAAAGUGGAGGGAUCACAUUUGAGUCAUUCAGUGAUUCAAAGAAUAUGACCUUUUAAUAUUCAUUCAGAUGUUUUCUGACUCUAAAUGUUCUUUUCUCAUUUCUUAGGGUUUUCUAAUUUAAAUUUAAAACAUUUUCAGUUUUUUUCCAACUCCUUCUUCUGUGUAACCUUCAGCUUUUAGCAGUUCAGCACUUUUGUUUUCAGGUUAAAUUUGUUUUUUGUUUUUUUUUAUCUCAUUCAAGAUUUUUAACUUAAAUUCAGUAAUUAAUUCAUUUCAGUGCAUACAUUCAGAUUCAAGCAUUCACACUGCAGUUUCUUCAGAAAAUGCACUUUCUAGUUUUCCAUUGUUGUCUGUUUUUGUACAGAACAACAACAACAACAAGAACAAUUACCAGACAAACUAUCAGACCAAUCAACCAUUCACGAUGUCCUCUAUUCCCUCCAUCCUCUGUGUCUCCUCCCGACUGACCUGCAGAUGAGAAACAGGUGUCAGCUAUCAUGUAAUUGAUGAGUGAAGAACAGAACAGAAUCCAUUUCCUAGUUCAGGAGAUGAGGAUAAAGAAAUAAUUUGAUAACAUGUAUAAAGUGAGAAAAUGUUCAUACUAGUGGAUUUUUCCUGCUUUUUCAUUUAAAAACAGGAUCUGACCAAAACUGCAGUAAUCUUGUUUUCACCAUAAAAAAAAAAAAUAUGAAAAUAAAAAUAUACUAAUGAGCAGGUCUGACAGCUCCCUUAGGGUCAAAGGUCAUGUUGAGUUCAUCCAGAUGUUUAAUAUAAUUUGACCUGUUUGGCUGCAGAUCUGUGAGAGCUCAUUAAAACACGUCUGAGACUUUUGGAAGGUCAAAUCCUCGAGGCUGAAACAUCUGAACCUGUGAUACAGUCACACCAACCAAACUAUACUUUGUAAACA
Astatotilapia calliptera (eastern happy) is the source of this 2927-nucleotide long non-coding RNA. The record is from Ensembl. NCBI's taxonomy places the organism in Eukaryota, Metazoa, Chordata, Actinopteri, Cichliformes, Cichlidae.